Molecule: long non-coding RNA, 3146 nt
Filed under: Homo sapiens (human)
Lineage: Eukaryota; Metazoa; Chordata; Mammalia; Primates; Hominidae
Description: HSALNT0111596
Source: RNAcentral
AUGUGAGACCGUUUUUUCCAAACAAGAUUGCUCAUUCCUACAGGAAAUGACCUCAUUCUUGAUGGCUGCUGCUAACUUAUGGUGAGAUGCUGGGUCCCUGCCCAAUACCACAUGGACAUCCAAUCAAUUUACCCAGGGACAAGUCCACUCAAGAGCAUCAUUUAGAAGAGGGAAAAGGCACUGGGGUUAUUUGUUUUUGGAGUAUGUGCUUAAGGAAAUCUAGAGUAUUCCCACGAGCAUUCUGCUGAGAUGAACAAUCAGAUGACCUCGUGUGAGAUUUGGAGGAGAGAAGGAAAUGGAGAGCAUGCGUCUGCCGCUUCUGUGGUUUCUGUCGGCUUUCUCCAUAUUUACGUGCUUGUAACUCUGGCAUGACCUUUGCUCCAGUCUCUACCAGAGGGCGGUGCCUGGAUUGAAGUGGAAAAGCCCUGUUUUCCAGCCAUGACCCAGGGAGCAAGCACUGACUCCUCAGGGGAACAGGAGACCUGCCAACUAGGACCCUGGGAGCCCCCAUGCUGGCAGUGCCCUGGGUCAUCUCAGGCUCAUCAGCAAAUCCUGGGGGGAGAGCGGGGCUGGAGGGCGAAGAAGCCCAGGAGAGUUCCUGGCUCAGAACCCCUCUCUGAGGCUCCCAAUACAGAGCCCAGGCCCCACACCCAGGGCCUCUGAGUAUUUUUGUUUAUUGUAUGUAAAAUACUAGUGUAUUUUUGUUUAAGUCUCACAGGUAAACAGGUUCUCUCAUACUUUGCCAAGGGAAAUGUGAUCUGUGCAAUUUGGCAAUAACUAUCAGAAUUUUAAAAGCUUAUGCCCUUUGACCUAGUAAUUUCACUUCUAAGAAUUUCCCCUGCAGAGAUAUGUAUAUCUUGUAUGAAAUGAAGAGGCUACGAAGACAGGCAACGCCGCAGUGUUUAUAAUAGCGAAGACCAGACACAACCCACAUGUCUAAAGGUUCUGAUUUUUAAAACUGUAGUAUAUCUGUACAAUGAGCACUCCACAUCCUUUAAGAAUGAGGAAGGGCUGUGUGAACUGAAAUGGAACUAUCUCUAAGAUUUAUUAAGUUAAAAAAAUUCAAGAGUAGCACAGUGUGUAGGGUAUGCCAUCAUUUGUAUGAUAUAAGGUCGUAUAUCUGCCAUCUCAAAUGAGGAACAGUGGUUGCCUCUGGGAAGGGAAUUGGAUGGCUAGGAAUGGGGUAGGAAAGAGGUUUGCUUUUCAGAACAUUUUAUACUAUUUAAGUUUUGUAACAAGUGCAUCUAUUUUGACUUAAAAGAUAAAAAAUGAAAAGGAAAGGCUCCACUAGUGAUUCUGAUGCUCACAAAGAUUAAGAACCAAUGCGAAUGAGGAACUCAUGACACCGCCCAGGAGACAGUGAACAUAUCUCUUCAAAUAUCAAAAACCUUUCAGCAGAGGAGCCAUUCACCUUGAAGCUGAGGAGGCAUGGAAGCAGGCCACCUGUGUUCUGUACAGCAUCACCAGGCUGGAAAUCUGCCAUGGCUUUCCUUCACGCCAUCACAAGAGGAUACAGAUGAGGCUGCAGAGGCAUCUUGAUUUGAGAAAAGCAUUUGACUGGAUCUCAUUAAAUUUUAAUCAUUAACUGAAUUCAAAAUAAAUUGAAAACUGGUUGACAGAGCACCAACAAAGGGUGAUGAUAAAUGGUGAUGCAUCUAGAGGGGAGCUAUCUUCCAGGGGACAACUCUAAGGCAAGGACGGAUGGGAUUUAAUGAAGGUGUUAUGUCCCCAGAAGAAGACAAAUAGCACAGCAAGGAACAGAGGAAGGACAGGAGUGAGCAGCCUGAGUAAUUAAUAAACCAUAUUAACAGCUCCUCCAUAAUCAGGCCUUGGUGAUCACAACUGCUUGGAUUUUUUCUUAAGCUUUCUUUGAGUCAGGAAUAGGUUUGAAGCGUCCUAGAGACACACAGCAUGAAUAUUUCAGGUGGACAUUAAAAAGAAAUCUAUAAAUUUACAGCUGGGAGGAUCCUGAGAUCUACUUCGGAUCAGAAACUUUCAAUUACAAGAUUCCCAAGGCCUUACUUCAUUCCCCAGAGAGUAAUCUUUUUAAUAAAUGUCCAAAAGUCAUGGAUUUAAAAAAAAAUCUUUAAACUCAUUAAUGUCCUUUGUUUCCUGCCCAAAUGCAUGCAAACUUUCAUAACACUGGUUUGCUGAGUGGAAGGUUGGUUUUGAGUGAACUGUUUGGCUCAGAUUCAAACUCCAAUGAACAAAUACUUCCAAGUUUACUUGCUGAAUUUCCCAUACAGAGAAGUUCUUCCACUGGGCUUGCCAGAGGAUUUGAAACAGUGGUGAGCCCUGGAAGGAAGGGAAUAUUUACUGGCCCUUGGACAUAAACCCAGCACAGUAAGACUCACAUCAGGCUGAAGGCAGUGCAGUAUGAACCGACCUGAUUUGAGGAAGUUUGCUCUGGGACUCCUCUGAGCUACUAAAUGAGGAGGAGAAGGACUAAUGGGAACACACUGACUCCAUCACAUUAGAAGUUAUAAUAAACAUUUAGAGAACAACCUCAAACCAGCCCAUGUUUUUUUUUUUUUUCUGUCGUUGUCAUUGUUUUGGUUUUUGUUUUUUUGUUUCUUCAGAUAAGAUGGUUUCUCUAAGCACAUGUGUGAUCCCUAAUUCAGCCACAGCCACGGAGUGAAGGAGAGGAAGGGGUAGAAAGGAAAAACCAAGAGAGGAAGAGGAAGGGAGAGAAAGGAAGGAAGGAGAACGGAAGAGAAGUAAGGAAAGUGGGGAAACGCUGAAGGAUUUUUUUGUAUUUGCCUUUUAUUGGUGUAGGAGAGACACUUAUUUACUUGUAAUUUGUAUGUAGUGCUGGGUAUGAGAAGGGGCAGUUGGAAGAGAAGGGAAAGAAUGAAUAUAGGUGAAAGGUAAGAGUGUCAUAGGGUAAGCUGGGAGGCCAGGAAGAGUUUGGACAGACAGCUCAGAGUAGGAAGAGAGUUCAGAGCGGGGAGGGAGACCUGUUGACUCUGGGAAGGGGAAAGGGAAAAAACACUGGCAUCCUGACUGCAGGGAAACAAUGAGGCAGCGGAGAGCAAGUAUCCCUCAUUGCUGAGGGAGCUGCCAAGACCCCAGGCAGCCUCAGUCUGUGGGGUGCGGCCUGUGGGGUGCGAGGAGAGGGGCACAGGCUGGGAGCUCCGGUCAGUCCU